Molecule: ribosomal RNA, 253 nt
Filed under: uncultured bacterium
Lineage: Bacteria
Description: partial 16S ribosomal RNA
Rfam family: Bacterial small subunit ribosomal RNA
Source: RNAcentral
UACGUAGGGACCAAGCGUUGUUCGGAUUUACUGGGCGUAAAGGGCGCGUAGGCGGCGCGGUAAGUCACUUGUGAAAUCUCUGAGCUUAACUCAGAACGGCCAAGUGAUACUGCAGUGCUAGAGUGUGGAAGGGGCAAUCGGAAUUCUUGGUGUAGCGGUGAAAUGCGCAGAUAUCAGGAGGAACACCGGUGGCGAAGGCGGGUCUCUGGGCCGAUACUGACGCUGAGGAGCGAAAGCGUGGGGAGCGAACAGG